This 492-nucleotide ribosomal RNA is filed under the name uncultured bacterium. RNAcentral's name for it is "partial 16S ribosomal RNA". It matches the Rfam family "Bacterial small subunit ribosomal RNA", at positions 29 to 507 of the family's 1533-position model. The record is from RNAcentral.
AGUGAACGCUGGCGGUAGGCCUAACACAUGCAAGUCGAACGGCAGCACAGUAAGAGCCUGCUCUUACGGGUGGCGAGUGGCGGACGGGUGAGGAAUACAUCGGAAUCUACUUUUUCGUGGGGGAUAACGUAGGGAAACUUACGCUAAUACCGCAUACGACCUACGGGUGAAAGCAGGGGAUCUUCGGACCUUGCGCGAUUGAAUGAGCCGAUGUCGGAUUAGCUAGUUGGCGGGGUAAAGGCCCACCAAGGCGACGAUCCGUAGCUGGUCUGAGAGGAUGAUCAGCCACACUGGAACUGAGACACGGUCCAGACUCCUACGGGGGGAAGCAGGGGGGAAUAUUGGAAAAUGGGCGCAAGCCUGAUCCAGCCAUACCGCGUGGGUGAAGAAGGCCUUCGGGUUGUAAAGCCCUUUUGUUGGGAAAGAAAAGCAGCAGGUUAAUACCCCGCUGUUCUGACGGUACCCAAAGAAUAAGCACCGGCUAACUUCGUG